GACCGGGGACGGGAGCGCUGAGGGCGAGGGUGCCGUGCGUGUGGGCAUGUGGGCACUGCGGCGGCCCUGAGGCACCUGCACUGAGCCGCCACCGAGCCGUCACCGCGGGAUUUUGGCUAUGCCACUUCUGCAAUGAAUGUAAGAGUGUUAAUUAAAAAAAAAAAGUUACCAGCCAAUUUGCAGAGUUCUCAUAUAAUCUGAAAAGAGAAAAUACAAGAAAACACAUGAUACAAAGAGGAGCUUUCAGCAUGACAGCCAAAAAAAGGGGAAUGUAUGCUUUCAGAGAGGAGAGAGGCAGAAACAGAGGAAGGAAAGACUAGUGAAGACUUCGGCAGAAAAUAUUUGGCAUCAUGAAAUCGAACAAAACAACUGGUUCCCAGCAAGAAAGCUUCAACUGGAAAUGCAGAACAUAUGGAAGAGCUGCCCACAUCUUUGUGGUUCUCUUAAGACUUGAAAAGAUACUAUAUUAGUGGGAUUUUAGGAGCAAUAAGAGGUGUACUAAUAAUCAUCUUUGAAAUAAAAUACUGCUAAACAAGGAUAUGAUUUGGGUACAAUUCCACCAGUGACAGCAGAACUUGAGUACACUCUCCAGUUAGAAUGAGCAACCCUACUAUCUUUUGCAAUGAUCCUUAAAAAGUUCAGUUGAAAUUCAGAACACUGCAGCUAAUGAGUGAAUUACAGUGGAAUGGCUGCUCAAAAUUUUCCAGAAGAAGCGUAAC
This is a long non-coding RNA of Parus major (Great Tit), 719 nucleotides long. RefSeq lists it as uncharacterized. The record is from RefSeq and is a predicted model, not a curated record. The transcript has 6 exons. NCBI's taxonomy places the organism in Eukaryota, Metazoa, Chordata, Aves, Passeriformes, Paridae.